Molecule: ribosomal RNA, 144 nt
Filed under: Aeromonas sp. 9
Lineage: Bacteria; Pseudomonadati; Pseudomonadota; Gammaproteobacteria; Aeromonadales; Aeromonadaceae
Description: partial 16S ribosomal RNA
Rfam family: Bacterial small subunit ribosomal RNA
Source: RNAcentral
GGGGAUAACAGUUGGAAACGACUGCUAAUACCGCAUACGCCCUACGGGGGAAAGCAGGGGACCUUCGGGCCUUGCRCGAUUGGAUGAACCCAKGUGGGAUUAKCUAGUUGGUGAGGUAAUGGCUCACCAAGGCGACGAUCCCUA